Molecule: ribosomal RNA, 254 nt
Filed under: uncultured bacterium
Lineage: Bacteria
Description: partial 16S ribosomal RNA
Rfam family: Bacterial small subunit ribosomal RNA
Source: RNAcentral
UACGAAGGGGGCUAGCGUUGUUCGGAAUUACUGGGCGUAAAGCGCGCGCAGGCGGUCUUCCAAGUCAGUGGUGAAAGCCCGGAGCUCAACUCCGGAACUGCCAUUGAAACUGUGAGACUUGAGGAUGAGAGAGGUGAGUGGAAUUCCCAGUGUAGAGGUGAAAUUCGUAGAUAUUGGGAAGAACACCGGUGGCGAAGGCGGCUCACUGGCUCGAUUCUGACGCUCAGGCGCGACAGCGUGGGGAUCGAAACAGG